CCUACGGGUGGCAGCAGUGAGGAAUAUUGGUCAAUGGACGAGAGUCUGAACCAGCCAAGUAGCGUGAAGGAUGACUGCCCUAUGGGUUGUAAACUUCUUUUAUAUGGGAAUAAAAUGUUCCACGUGUGGGAUUUUGUAUGUACCAUAUGAAUAAGGAUCGGCUAACUCCGUGCCAGCAGCCGCGGUAAUACGGAGGAUCCGAGCGUUAUCCGGAUUUAUUGGGUUUAAAGGGAGCGUAGGUGGAUUGUUAAGUCAGUUGUGAAAGUUUGCGGCUCAACCGUAAAAUUGCAGUUGAAACUGGCAGUCUUGAGUACAGUCGAGGUGGGCGGAAUUCGUGGUGUAGCGGUGAAAUGCUUAGAUAUCACGAAGAACUCCGAUUGCGAAGGCAGUUCACUGGACUGCAACUGACACUGAGGCUCGAAAGUGUGGGUAUCAAACAGGAUUAGAUACCCUAGUAGUC
This 460-nucleotide ribosomal RNA is filed under the name uncultured bacterium. RNAcentral describes it as "partial 16S ribosomal RNA". It matches the Rfam family "Bacterial small subunit ribosomal RNA", at positions 338 to 795 of the family's 1533-position model. The record is from RNAcentral.